CACGUAGGAGACGAGCGUUAUCCGGAUUUACUGGGCGUAAAGCGCGUGCAGGCGGUUCAGCAAGUUGGAUGUGAAAGCUCCCGGCUUAACUGGGAGAGGUCGUUCAAAACUACUGGACUUGAGAGUGGUAGAGGGAGGUGGAAUUCCGGGUGUAGUGGUGAAAUGCGUAGAUAUCCGGAGGAACACCAGUGGCGAAAGCGGCCUCCUGGACCAUUUCUGACGCUCAGACGCGAAAGCUAGGGUAGCGAACGGG
Molecule: ribosomal RNA, 253 nt
Filed under: uncultured Bellilinea sp.
Lineage: Bacteria; Bacillati; Chloroflexota; Anaerolineae; Anaerolineales; Anaerolineaceae
Description: partial 16S ribosomal RNA
Rfam family: Bacterial small subunit ribosomal RNA
Source: RNAcentral